UACGUAGGGCGCAAGCGUUAUCCGGAUUUAUUGGGCGUAAAGGGCUCGUAGGCGGUUCGUCGCGUCCGGUGUGAAAUCCCAUCGCUUAACGCUGGAUCCGCGCCGGGUACGGGGGGGCUUGAGUGCGGUAGGGGAGACUGGAAUUCCCGGUGUAACGGUGGAAUGUGUAGAUAUCGGGAAGAAGACCAAUGGCGAAGGCAGGUCUCUGGGCCGUUACUGACGCUGAGGAGCGAAAGCGUGGGGAGCGAACAGG
This 253-nucleotide unclassified non-coding RNA is filed under the name uncultured Bifidobacteriaceae bacterium. RNAcentral describes it as "contains 16S-23S intergenic spacer region". It matches the Rfam family "Bacterial small subunit ribosomal RNA", at positions 524 to 776 of the family's 1533-position model. The record is from RNAcentral. Lineage: Bacteria; Bacillati; Actinomycetota; Actinomycetes; Bifidobacteriales; Bifidobacteriaceae.